AACCUUCAACCUAUAAAGCCUUUGCGGGUUUGUAGGCUUGGACUUGGAGGCUUGUCGGCCUGUUAGCGGUCGGCUCCUCUUAAAUGCAUUAGUUCGAUUCCUUGCGGAUCGGCUCUCGGUGUGAUAAAUGUCUACGCCGCGACCGUGAAGCGUUUGACGAGCUUCCAAUCGUCUCGCGUGAGACAACAUAUUGAC
This 195-nucleotide unclassified non-coding RNA is filed under the name uncultured Perenniporia. Its description in RNAcentral is "sequence contains ITS2". The record is from RNAcentral. Lineage: Eukaryota; Fungi; Basidiomycota; Agaricomycetes; Polyporales; Polyporaceae.